RNAcentral lists this unclassified non-coding RNA (200 nucleotides) under soil metagenome. RNAcentral's name for it is "partial internal transcribed spacer 1". The record is from RNAcentral.
CCGAGUUAGGGUGCUUCUCGCGGCCCGACCUCCAACCCUUUGUCCACCUGACCAGAUGUUGCUUCGGCAGGCCCCGCCGCCCCGCAAGGGGUAGCCGCCGGGGGUCUUUACCGGCCCCGGGUCCGUGCCUGUCGAUGGCCCCCUUCUAUAAACUCUUGCUUAAAACGUGUCGUCUGAGUAUAAACAAACAAAAUAAAACA